UACCUAGUGGAACUAGACCAGCAGCUCCUUCUCCGGGCCAGCAGUUCCUGUUGCUGCAACUGAGAACUCAUAGGAAUAAGGAGCGCUGAUCAGUGAAGUUGCACAUCAUUUCAUGAGACUGAUGGUCUCCUCACUGUUCUGGUUCCAUGAUAGUGUAACUCUAUUGACAGACACUGACAAAACCAGAAAUCCUUCCUAAGUAUAAGCUUAGUAUAUAAUGCAUACAUUAAAUAAAAGUUUAAAAGUAAAUGCUAUAUGACACAAAUUUCAUGUACUCUGAUGUAAACUCUUCCUCAAAACAACUAGAUACCUGUAUGGAAGUUCAGGUCAGACAGUAUCAGGUGAUUCAAGGAGGGAAACCAACCCACUUGUUAUUUGUGGAGUAGGUGUCAAGGGUGUUAUAAACGACGCCGACUGGCGAUCCGGCAGCGUUAUUCCCAUGACCCACCGGGCAGCUCCAGGGAAACCCAAGUCUUUGGAUUCCGGGGGGAGUAUGGUUGCAAAGCUGAAACUGGGGUAGGGAGUAACACUGUGAUUUCACCAGAGCUACCACCACCUGUGCCAGACUUGAACCUCUUCCAAAGACGGAAGACUGUACUGUGUGUUAUAACACUGCAGGAAAGGGUGAGGUGGAGACACAGGCAGGAUAAAUGGCAUGGCCAGGUACCUGUGGGUAGCCCGCAUGUGCCUGACCU
Molecule: non-coding RNA, 695 nt
Filed under: Gavia stellata (red-throated loon)
Lineage: Eukaryota; Metazoa; Chordata; Aves; Gaviiformes; Gaviidae
Description: Eukaryotic small subunit ribosomal RNA
Rfam family: Eukaryotic small subunit ribosomal RNA
Source: Rfam by way of RNAcentral